RNAcentral lists this ribosomal RNA (265 nucleotides) under uncultured bacterium. Its description in RNAcentral is "partial 16S ribosomal RNA". It matches the Rfam family "Bacterial small subunit ribosomal RNA", at positions 1239 to 1500 of the family's 1533-position model. The record is from RNAcentral.
CAAAAGUGAGGCGAGACGGAGACGUUAAGCAAAGCACAAAAACCUAAGUCCCAGUUCGGAUUGUAGUCUGCAACCCGACUACAUGAAGCUGGAAUCGCUAGUAAUCCCGAAUCAGCAUGUCGGGGUGAAUGCGUUCCCGGGUCUUGUACACACUGCCCGUCACGCCAUGGGAGUCGGGGGUACCCGAAGUCAGUGGGCUAACCAGCAAUGGAGGCAGCUGCCGAAGGUAAAACUGAUGACUGGGGUGAAGUCGUAACAAGGUAGC